UAAAUUUAGAUCUCUACAAAUUUUAUGGAAUUUAGAGAGUAAUCCUUUCUAUAGGAACGUAUAGCAGUAAAACACAGUAAAAAUGCCCACUGAUGCCGAAGAGAGCCACACCGAAACUUAGAAACUCUUUUUUCAGACAAACUUUCUCUAGGGCAACCCUUCCUCUUUAUGUUGGCGGACACAAAACCCCAACGGUGCCGACUUUUUCCCAGGACAGACAACCAUGACGAGCCUCACAGCCUGAAAAUGUUGGAAGAGGGUCCCAUGCUGCAUAACGCACUGUCAGUCCUGAAAAGUUGGGGGAGAAAAUUGCUCCCUCAUUAAGGCUCACAGUAGUUAACCGCUUCCGCAAGACUCAACGCCAGACCUUUUAAAGAGCCCAACCGCUGGGAGAAGUGGCAACUGGAAGGCACUUGUGGCAGGGGAGUGUCUGCGUGGGCGAAAUUCCCUCCGUUUCUCGCCAACACCGGAAUUAACACUGCUCUGCUCUGAAGCUUAAAAGUGUUGCAGGCGCGUGAUCUUAACCCGCUUCCUAAACUGGCCGUUCCGGGGUCGUCAGAGCCACCGGGCGGGCGGGGGCCCCGCGUGCGCCUAGAACACGGACACCGUCCCGGGCUCUGCGCCUCCGUCCUGGGUGAUAUCCAACGGCUCAUCUUUCUCAAAGAAGAGCAAGUCCAUCAGAAGGCUGUGAGCUGUGAAGAUUCGUGUUCUUUUUCUUCCCUCGCUGCCCAGGAUCAGUAUAAGGUCUCUGCCCAGCAGCCUGCCUUUUCCAAGCAGCUGUAGGCUUGUUUUCAAGCCAGAGAGAAUGUCUGCUCUCACGGAGGCCUAUUGGUUUCAUUUGCCUAAAUAGAAGUGGAUGAUGGCUGAAAUGUGGCUGAUUUUAGCAAUCAG
Non-coding RNA from Globicephala melas (long-finned pilot whale), 891 nucleotides. The record is from RefSeq and is a predicted model, not a curated record. Lineage: Eukaryota; Metazoa; Chordata; Mammalia; Artiodactyla; Delphinidae.